AACGAACGCUGGCGGCAGGCUUAACACAUGCAAGUCGAACGGAUCCUUCGGGAUUAGUGGCAGACGGGUGAGUAACGCGUGGGAACGUACCCUUUGCUACGGAAUAACUCAGGGAAACUUGAGCUAAUACCGUAUGUGCCCUACGGGGGAAAGAUUUAUCGGCAAAGGAUCGGCCCGCGUUGGAUUAGCUAGUUGGUGGGGUAAUGGCCUACCGAGGCGACGAUCCAUAGCUGGUCUGAGAGGAUGAUCAGCCACACUGGGACUGAGACACGGCCCAGACUCCUACGGGAGGCAGCAGUGGGGAAUAUUGGACAAUGGGCGCAAGCCUGAUCCAGCCAUGCCGCGUGAGUGAUGAAGGUCUUAGGAUUGUAAAGCUCUUUCACCGGUGAAGAUAAUGACGGUAGCCGGAGAAGAAGCCCCGGCUAACUUCGUG
This 433-nucleotide ribosomal RNA is filed under the name uncultured bacterium. Its description in RNAcentral is "partial 16S ribosomal RNA". It matches the Rfam family "Bacterial small subunit ribosomal RNA", at positions 29 to 507 of the family's 1533-position model. The record is from RNAcentral.